This 533-nucleotide long non-coding RNA is filed under the name Cricetulus griseus (Chinese hamster). RNAcentral's name for it is "lncRNA (ENSCGRG00000024754.1)". Lineage: Eukaryota; Metazoa; Chordata; Mammalia; Rodentia; Cricetidae. The record is from RNAcentral.
AUGUGUGCUCAGGGAGCCUGGUCAACCAGAACAAGGAUGAAGACAUACUGGCCACUGCUUGAGAAGCCCCAGGGACAGGGGCUUCGAAGAACAAUCACCUCAAAUGCCUGCAACCAUCUCUGGAAGUUGAGUUGGGAUUGCCUGAUGAAAGGUGUGAAUGAGACUACCUGGCCUGCAAGCUUCCAAUUGAUUCUCGUGUCUCUGCUGCUCAUCUCAUCAUAAGAGUGCUGGGAUUUCACCACUCAGGUGGCUGAGGGAUUAACUCAUUAGGUUUGCACAGUAAGCCCUUUCUUUACCCUCUGAAUCAUCUCUCUGACCCCUACUCUCAUCUUCUCAACAAACAGGGACUCAGAUUCUGCUGUUCCCCUUUUUACAAAUGGAGUAACCAAGUCACACAGAGGUUAAACAAGUGACCCAAAGUCACACAGCUUAUGAGAAAUUAAUCUGUGAUGUAUAAUACUUUAAUGUACAAGACCUUAACCUUUUCUUUGUUCAUUCUUUUGGCGCCUGCACCUUUCAUAGACAAAGUUCAU